UCACUUUCAACAACGGAUCUCUUGGCUCUCGCAUCGAUGAAGAACGUAGCGAAGUGCGAUAAGUAGUGUGAAUUGCAGAAUUCCGUGAAUCAUCGAAUUUUUGAACGCAAAUUCCACUCUCUGGCAUUCCGGAGAGUAUGCCUGUUUGAGGGUCGAUA
This 158-nucleotide ribosomal RNA is filed under the name uncultured Glomus. Its description in RNAcentral is "5.8S ribosomal RNA". It matches the Rfam family "5.8S ribosomal RNA". Rfam says of the family: 5.8S ribosomal RNA (5.8S rRNA) is a component of the large subunit of the eukaryotic ribosome. It is transcribed by RNA polymerase I as part of the 45S precursor that also contains 18S and 28S rRNA. The record is from RNAcentral. Lineage: Eukaryota; Fungi; Glomeromycota; Glomeromycetes; Glomerales; Glomeraceae.